AAAAAAUACACCUAAUUAUAUAUACUAAAUUGAAUUAGAGUGAAUGUAAGACGAUGAAGAUAAGAUAUAUGUAAAUACUAUUGGGAUACCACCAAUUGAAGAUGAUUAUCAUGAUGAGGUGUAAUUACUGCAGGUGAUGCUUCGUUAUCUUGAAUACGGUCGAAAAUGGCGUUGGCUUCGAUAUGGUCGAAUAAUAACCUGACUAACAUGUUCCGACUCCACGCGCGCACGCAACUUUGGCACCCACUAUGGAGUAAAACCAUCACAAUAACUUUUUCGACGAUCAGAAUAAAACAAACCGUGGCCAUAACAACUGCAGCGACAGCCAUAGGAAGAACCUCCGGUUUUUUAAAUUUUUUUACGAGAAAAGUCAUAGAGCAAGCGAGAAAU
This 390-nucleotide long non-coding RNA is filed under the name Erythranthe guttata (spotted monkey flower). RNAcentral's name for it is "long non-coding RNA (EGUT_LNC003011)". Lineage: Eukaryota; Viridiplantae; Streptophyta; Magnoliopsida; Lamiales; Phrymaceae. The record is from RNAcentral.